GGGGAUCCCGAGUGCGAGGGCAUACAGUCCUCGCUUUUCUGCACCGUAAGGUGGUGCAGGAAUAAGGGCUGGGCAAGACCGGUGCCAGCCGCCGCGGUAAUACCGGCAGCCCGAGUGAUGGCCGCUAUUAUUGGGCCUAAAGCGUCCGUAGCCGGCCCGAACAGGUCCGUCGGGAAAUCUGCUCGCCCAACGAGCAGGCGUCCGGCGGAAACCAGUCGGCUUGGGGCCGGAAGACCCGAGGGGUACGUCCGGGGUGGGAGUGAAAUCCCGUAAUCCCGGACGGACCGCCGGUGGCGAAAGCGCCUCGGGAAGACGGACCCGACGGUGAGGGACGAAAGCUAGGGUCACGAACCGGAUUAGAUACCCGGGUAGUCCUAGCCGUAAACGAUGCCCGCUAGGUGUGGCACCGGCUACGAGCCGGUGCUGUGCCGUAGUGAAGACGUGAAGCGGGCCGCCUGGGAAGUACGUCCGCAAGGAUGAAACUUAAAGGAAUUGGCGGGGGAGCAC
RNAcentral lists this ribosomal RNA (507 nucleotides) under uncultured archaeon. RNAcentral's name for it is "bacterial SSU rRNA". It matches the Rfam family "Archaeal small subunit ribosomal RNA", at positions 374 to 879 of the family's 1478-position model. The record is from RNAcentral.